UACGUAGGCAGCGAGCGUUGUUCGGAGUUACUGGGCGUAAAGAGUGCGUAGGCGGUUUUCUAAGUUUGGUGUGAAAUCUCCCGGCUCAACUGGGAGGGUGCGCCGAAGACUGGAAGGCUAGAGUAUGGGAGAGGUAAGCGGAAUUCCUGGUGUAGCGGUGAAAUGCGUAGAUAUCAGGAGGAACACCUGCGGUGUAGACGGCUUACUGGACCAUUACUGACGCUGAGGCACGAAAGCGUGGGUAGCAAACAGG
RNAcentral lists this ribosomal RNA (253 nucleotides) under uncultured bacterium. Its description in RNAcentral is "partial 16S ribosomal RNA". It matches the Rfam family "Bacterial small subunit ribosomal RNA", at positions 524 to 776 of the family's 1533-position model. The record is from RNAcentral.